This 531-nucleotide ribosomal RNA is filed under the name Flavobacteriaceae bacterium. RNAcentral's name for it is "bacterial SSU rRNA". It matches the Rfam family "Bacterial small subunit ribosomal RNA", at positions 376 to 907 of the family's 1533-position model. Lineage: Bacteria; Pseudomonadati; Bacteroidota; Flavobacteriia; Flavobacteriales; Flavobacteriaceae. The record is from RNAcentral.
GAGCACUCUGAUCCAGCCAUGCCGCGUGUAGGAAGACUGCCCUAUGGGUUGUAAACUACUUUUAUAUGGGAAGAAUAAGAUCUACGUGUAGAUUGAUGACGGUACCAUAAGAAUAAGCACCGGCUAACUCCGUGCCAGCAGCCGCGGUAAUACGGAGGGUGCAAGCGUUAUCCGGAAUCAUUGGGUUUAAAGGGUCCGUAGGCGGGCAUAUAAGUCAGUGGUGAAAGUCUGUGGCUUAACCAUAGAAUUGCCAUUGAUACUGUAUGUCUUGAAUUAUUGUGAAGUGGUUAGAAUAUGUAGUGUAGCGGUGAAAUGCUUAGAGAUUACAUAGAAUACCGAUUGCGAAGGCAGAUCACUAACAAUAUAUUGACGCUGAUGGACGAAAGCGUAGGUAGCGAACAGGAUUAGAUACCCUGGUAGUCUACGCCGUAAACGAUGGAUACUAGUUGUUUGGUUUUCGGACUGAGUGACUAAGCGAAAGUGAUAAGUAUCCCACCUGGGGAGUACGUUCGCAAGAAUGAAACUCAAAUG